Molecule: long non-coding RNA, 681 nt
Filed under: Homo sapiens (human)
Lineage: Eukaryota; Metazoa; Chordata; Mammalia; Primates; Hominidae
Description: HSALNT0021536
Source: RNAcentral
AUUUGAUAUUAUUAGUCUAAACGCUACCAAAAGUAUCUCUAAUCUUGAAAUUCUCCAUAUUCUUCCAUAAUUUAAGACAGCACUUGCCUUAGCUUCAUUAUUUUAAAAUGAUAGCUUAGAGUGAAACCUACUUGAUAUAUAGAUGAAGGGAGCAUAUGUAAAGGAUUAUAUUUCUUAAGUCUUUCAUCCGUUAUACAUUUAGAAAACUUGAUAGGCAUAGAUGUGUGUUCUUUGCCACUGUGGCUUCCUUCUCAGGGUAACUGCCAUUCAUUCACCAAACUCCUGUUGUGUGCAUCUUUCUUAGAUGAAAAUUAUGGCUGGCAUUAUGUGAUCCCUGUUCUUAAGAUGUUUGUGGUCUAAAUGGAGCAAAUAAGGCAUUCACAUGUGAAAAGUUAAAUAAUAUAACAAACUAAAAUAGAUGUCAUAAGUUUUAUAGUGCCAGUAUGAUAAGGGAAUUUGGAAGAAAGAGAGACUCUUAUAAACUGGUGUCGUUACAGAAGGCAUUUGGAAGAGGUAGAAUUUGAUCUGAAUCUUGAAAUGUGAAUAGGGAACUAUCCCAUUUGGUGGCAUAAAAAUGAUUUUAUUCCUAUAAAAGGAUCCUAUCUGAGCAUUCGAUAUGGUGUGGUUUUCUGGUGCUGCUGAAUCUUAAAUUAAAAAUGCUUUAAAAUUUGUGCUUUGGUG